AGCAUGGAGUCCUCAGACAGAAGAUGGAAACAUCCUUCCAGGUAAUCACGCACACACGCCCAGCUUCAUCCCUAUCGUUCGUCACCUUGCUAAUCUCGCCUGUGUGCAGUUGCUGUGACAGGUCGGUCCUGCUGUAAGUGCAACCAGGCCUAAAGGCAUGUAAGGAACGACUGAUGGCGUAACGAUGGGCCACGAAUAAGGAGUUUCCCAUUUUUCUAUGGCCUAUGGUAGAGUUAUCUGUAGGUUUUAAGUGUAACACACUUCAGAAUCUAGGCAUUAAGCUGGUGCUGUCGAGUGCCGACUAGCUAGGGACACUAGCUAGGCCGACAUGCAAAAUGGAAUGAAAUGUGUCGUUCUAAUUUUAUUUGCUAGGAAAAUGGUG
RNAcentral lists this long non-coding RNA (382 nucleotides) under Zea mays. Its description in RNAcentral is "long non-coding RNA (ZMAY_LNC002106)". Lineage: Eukaryota; Viridiplantae; Streptophyta; Magnoliopsida; Poales; Poaceae. The record is from RNAcentral.